AAUAAAAAAUCUAGCAUAUUUCAGGAAACAUAUCCUAGUUCACCGUCUGUGAGCGUCUCAACUCACAAGCCCUUCUUGGGCCAUCUUUUGCUAAAUUGCUUAACCGAAUUUCUUAAUUUAUUACAUAGGUGCCCCUCCCUCACUGAUCUACGUUUUUCCGUCUGUUUUUCCUCGAGCUGAGAAUUUUCUACAGAUCGUUUCGAAGGCUUGAAGUUACUGAAUUGUCUCUCGGUUUCGUGUCAUAUAAUUCCUGUAAUUCAUGCUCUGUUUUUCCUUCGCCUUCGAUUUUUUUACUUGAUAGCGUUAACAUGUCGGGUCCGCUCGAUCGCUUCGCAAGGCCUUGCUUUGAGGGGUUCUCUGGUCACGACGAAAGGAAAGAGCGGAAAUCAGACUUAGAAAACUCCGAGGAUGACAAGCGGACGAGAAUUGGGAGUCUAAAGAAGAAAGCAAUCAGUGCGUCUAGCAAAUUCAGACACUCUCUUAAGAAGAAGAGCCGGAAGAAGAGUGCUAGCCGCAGUAAUUCUGUUUCGAUUGAGGAUGUGCGGGAUGUUGAGGAGCUGCAGAUCGUAGACGCUUUUCGACAGGCACUUAUCUUGGAGGAAUUGCUUCCUCCGAAACACGAUGAUUACCACAUGUUGUUGAGAUUCUUGAAAGCUAGGAAGUUUGAUAUUGAGAAAGCAAAAAACAUGUGGGCUAACAUGAUUCAAUGGAGGAAAGACUUUGGUACAGACACAAUUUUGGAGGAAUUUGAGUUUUUUGAGUUGAAUGAAGUUCUACAACACUACCCUCAGGGUUACCAUGGUGUAGAUAGGGAGGGAAGGCCUAUAUACAUUGAGAGACUGGGAAAAAUUGAUCCCAACAAGCUUAUGAAAGCAACAACUUUGGAUCGAUAUGUGAGAUACCAUGUACAGGGGUUUGAACGGAGUUUUGCAAUUAGAUUUCCUGCUUGUUCAAUUGCUGCAAAAAGACACAUAGAUUCAAGCACAACAAUUUUAGAUGUUCAAGGAGUGGGUUUUAAAAACCUAACCAAGUCUGCACGAGAACUCAUCACACGGCUGCAGAAGAUUGAUAAUGACAAUUAUCCUGAAACACUUUUCCAAAUGUUCAUAAUUAAUGCUGGCCCUGGUUUUAAGCUGCUCUGGAACACGGUGAAAGCUUUUAUUGAUCCCAGAACAACUACAAAGAUUCAUGUUCUUGGGAAUAAGUACCAAAGCAAAUUACUUGAAAUAAUUGAUGCAAGUGAGUUGCCAGAAUUUCUGGGUGGUAGCUGUACAUGUGCUGAUAAGGGAGGUUGUAUGAGGUCAGAUAAAGGGCCGUGGAAUGAUCCAAACAUAUUAAAGAUGGUUCUCAGUGGUGAAGCACAAUGUUCUAGACAAAUAGUAACUGUUUCAAACAGUGACGGGAAGAUAGUCGAAUGUGACAACACUGACAAGCCACAAUAUAACAUGAUAAGAAGUAGUGACACAUCUACUGCAGAGUCGGGAUCUGAAGUGGACGAAAUUGCUUCUCCUAAAGAAACUAGGAACUAUUCACAACCCAGGUUGACUCCUGUCCGUGAAGAAGUAAGGGUUUGUAAGGCUAGGACUGCUGGUAAGGGGAGCAGUGGUGGUGGUGUCUUGGAGUAUGAUGAAUACAUUCCCAUGAUUGACAAGCCUGUGGAUCUCGAAUGGACGAAACAAAUAUCACUUCAAGAGCCACGUGCUUCUGGAGGGACAAGUUCUCUGUCAAGUACGGAAAAAGCUCCAGAAGGAAUUUUCAGUCGAGUCUGGGCUACACUGGUGGCCUUCUUCAUUACCCUGAUUAGCCUAUUACGUUCAAUGGCAUUCCGCGUGAAUAAGAAACUUCCUGUGACUGCACCUGAUUCUAUCUGCAACAUUCCUGAUCUGAUGGUUGAAUCACCCGAGGAGGAGUUCCGACCCCCGUCCCUUGCUCCACGUUUGACAGAUGCUGACCUGCUGUCUUCUGCCUUGAAAAGACUGGGUGAGCUUGAGGAGAAAGUAGACAUGCUGCAGGCAAAGCCCUUUGAGAUGCCUUACGAGAAAGAGGAGUUGCUGAAUGCUGCUGUUUGUCGUGUGGAUGGAUUGGAAGCCGAGCUCAUUGCGACAAAGAAGGCUCUGCAUGAAGCUUUAAUGAGGCAGGAAGAACUCCUAGCGUACAUAGACAGACAGGAAGAAGCCAAGUUAAGAAAGAAGUCUUGCUGGUGAAAGAGAGACGGCAGCGCACAUUCCACUCGGCUCUCUCCAUUUUUGAAAAAAACCGAAGCAAAUUUCCUCUUAUCUCUUCUUCAUCGAUCACCACGUAAGCAAAUUCUCCCCAUUACGGUCAAUUUUCGCAUUCGAAUCUGAAAACCUUACACUAGUAUAACCUGCCUUCCACUGAACCCUAAUCUCUCUCUCAUUCAGUUUUGAGGUGUGCUCGACCUUCUGAUGAAUCUAAAUUACAGGCUGUGCUCGACCUUCUGAUGAAUCUAUCGCAUUGGCGUUCUCAUUGAUGAUAUAGCAACUUCAAUAUCUUUUCCAAUUUGGUUACCACAGAUAUUUAAGUUCUUAGAAUUUAAGCAGCAAUUAAUAGUCGAAAGUGUCUUUUCCCUUCCCAUAAGUCGUAAGCAAACUGCAACGAUGAUUUGUUCGGUACAGUUUCCUAGUUUCUUUUCUGUUUUUUUAUUUCUGUGGUGAAUCUUUGGUAUUCUUGGCAGCAAUGCUAGAUAAUAUGUAGGCAUGUUGUGUUGUUGGAA
Carya illinoinensis is the source of this 2734-nucleotide RNA transcript. It is a transcript of the gene named phosphatidylinositol/phosphatidylcholine transfer protein SFH8, with no coding region annotated. The transcript has 16 exons. Lineage: Eukaryota; Viridiplantae; Streptophyta; Magnoliopsida; Fagales; Juglandaceae. The record is from RefSeq and is a predicted model, not a curated record.